Molecule: long non-coding RNA, 727 nt
Filed under: Numida meleagris (helmeted guineafowl)
Lineage: Eukaryota; Metazoa; Chordata; Aves; Galliformes; Numididae
Description: lncRNA (ENSNMEG00000020159.1)
Source: RNAcentral
CGGAGGGCGGGGCCGCUGUCGGCCGCUCCCUCUCGGAGCCUGCGCGCCCCGCGGCCCCGCCGGCUCGCCCCGUGGAAGCACGCGCGCACGGAACUCUUCCAAACAAAGUCGCGACGCUGCGCCCGCUCUGCCGGCGGGGAGGGCCGGAGCUGCGCUGCGUCACGUGCACCUCGGGGGCGGGGAGAGCCCCAGCGCGACGCGCGCGCGCCCGGCGUCAACAACUGCGCUUCGCGCCGCCGCCGUCUCGCGCCGUGAGAGAAGUAAACGGAGCUGCGGCGGGAGGGAGGUGUUUAGCAGCGCCGCGCAUGCGCCUCCGGGGUCGGGGGCGGUGCGCGCGGCGGCGCGGCGCGGGAAGCGGUUUGUAAUCCUUAAAGCGGCCGCGCGGCUGGAGCGGGGAGCGGCGCGGGCUGAGCAUGUUGAAGCUCUGAGCUGUAAGGAGGGAGGCUCCAGGAGCACUCAGGAAUUCAUGUCCCUGCAGAGUCUGAGUAACAGAUAUCCCUAUGCUGGACCAUUUUAUUUUUUCCAAGCUCAGAAUUACCAGGUUUUUAGAAGCUAAAAGCAAGGAGAACUUCUUAAAUUCACAGUCCCCAACGGAUGUUGGAGGCAACCAAUGUUGUAAGACCUGAAGUCUCCAAACCCCUACUCCAUUGCCAGCUAAUUCUGGAAUACCACAGCAGAUCCUAAUACUCUCACUGCUGAAAGCCUGCAGAGCCAUUUCUGCCCACAG